Molecule: transfer-messenger RNA, 371 nt
Filed under: Chitinophagaceae
Lineage: Bacteria; Pseudomonadati; Bacteroidota; Chitinophagia; Chitinophagales
Also listed under: 1 other name
Description: Puia sp002413325 Standard tmRNA
Rfam family: transfer-messenger RNA
About the family: Bacterial tmRNA, also known as 10Sa RNA or SsrA, is named for its dual tRNA and mRNA-like properties. Its role is to liberate the mRNA from a stalled ribosome.
Source: RNAcentral
GGGGGUGCCUGGUAUUGACAGCGUAGAUCUUUGAAAGUAUAAGCAUGUCGUGCGUUGGAUAAUUAGCACGUAAAUCUGAAUAUUCAAAUCUCAAAUGGCAAUACACAGUAUGCCAUGGCUGCCUAAUCAGUGAUUAAGUAGUCAUUUGGGCCGUGUGGCAGGUUCGCCUGUUACCAAGCUGCACCGCCGACUAAAAACAAAAGAGGAUGCUGUUCAGGAAGGCUGUGACCUGAACUUAAGACGAUUCAGCUAAGGGAAGGAUUGGUUUGUUGCUGCCCGGUCCUGCCCCGACAACCAAUCAGCAAAUAAACAUGUAGAAAGCUUUUGAAGGAUAUGUUUGGACAGGAGUUCGAUUCUCCUCACCUCCACUU